UCUGACAACUCUAGAGAUAGAGCGUUCCCCUUCGGGCGACAGAGUGACAGGUGGUGCAUGGUUGUCGUCAGCUCGUGUCGUGAGAUGUUGGGUUAAGUCCCGCAACGAGCGCAACCCUUGAUCUUAGUUGCCAGCAUUUAGUUGGGCACUCUAAGGUGACUGCCGGUGACAAACCGGAGGAAGGUGGGGAUGACGUCAAAUCAUCAUGCCCCUUAUGACCUGGGCUACACACGUGCUACAAUGGAUGGUACAAAGGGCUGCAAGACCGCGAGGUCAAGCCAAUCCCAUAAAACCAUUCUCAGUUCGGAUUGUAGGCUGCAACUCGCCUACAUGAAGCUGGAAUCGCUAGUAAUCGCGGAUCAGCAUGCCGCGGUGAAUACGUUCCCGGGCCUUGUACACACCGCCCGUCACACCACGAGAGUUUGUAACACCCGAAGUCGGUGGAGUAACCGUAAGGAGCUAGCCGCCUAAGGUGGGACAGAUGAUUGGGGUGA
This 494-nucleotide ribosomal RNA is filed under the name Bacillus sp. A6.3. RNAcentral describes it as "bacterial SSU rRNA". It matches the Rfam family "Bacterial small subunit ribosomal RNA", at positions 990 to 1483 of the family's 1533-position model. Lineage: Bacteria; Bacillati; Bacillota; Bacilli; Caryophanales; Bacillaceae. The record is from RNAcentral.